CAUCCGGCCACAACAUCCGGUUAGGAUCCACAUGCGGUCUCAAAGAUCUUCAUUCCUAAAAGAAUAUGAUUUACAAAUAGCGAUUCACAUCCGGGGCAAACACCAAGCUUUCGGCACAACAUAUGGGUCCCAUAAUGGGCGAGUUUUUUUGGCGCGUUUUUUUGGCGCCUCAUUGAUAAACGCCCAAUUGGCUAAGUUUGUCCAUUUAAGGGGAGAGUACCCUAUAGCUGAUACCAGUCUUGAGAAUGGUCCUUGGGGACCGAAACGCAUAGAAUACACUGGUAUCACGGCUCAGGUUCAUUUGGACAUUGUUAUUAUCCUAUCCUACACUGAAUGAAUUUUGAUACCAUCCGAUACUGAAUAACCUCAUUUGGAGGAAGAACACCACUAGAGGCUAAAAACCACUAGAUCACAGCAAUUUACAGCAAAUUCACAGACAAUUCACAGAUUAAGGAUCUACAAUAGAUAACCUAAAUUUACUCAUUUGAAGAUAUUAUAUACUCUCAGAGUUUUCACAUUUUAGGUGUAUACCUUUUUUCAAUUAUGGCCACAUUUUUGGAUUUUUAAUAUUUUUAAUCACAUUUUGAAUUUUUUUGCAUUUUUAUUUAUUUUUUAUUCAUCAUAAUUUUUUACUUUUUUACUCUUUCACUUUUUUACUUUUUGGAUUUUUUAAUUUUUGGUAACGACACUUAUCACAGACACAUUCACAUUAAAUUUGGAUGUAUUGUGACUUCACAAUCCUUUGGAUACACCUCAACACAUAUCUUUGGACACCUGUUCUUCAGAGACCUCAGACUUAUUUGGAUACCUAUGCCCAAUCUUGGGCCCCAUCCCUUGACUUAAGUUCUAAAGGAUAAUAGGCUACAUCUGAUUAUGUCAUACUGACUGUAUGGCAAGGCUUUUAUAUAUAUUUUUGCUUUUUGUAUACUAGUUUUAGGACUUGUUACAUUGUAUUUUUAGAAUAAAGAUUGCAAUACUUUUUA
Long non-coding RNA from Bombina bombina (fire-bellied toad), 983 nucleotides. RefSeq lists it as uncharacterized. The record is from RefSeq and is a predicted model, not a curated record. The transcript has 2 exons. NCBI's taxonomy places the organism in Eukaryota, Metazoa, Chordata, Amphibia, Anura, Bombinatoridae.